ACUUAAUCCUUUGGGUUCUCUGCUGCUCUUUCAACUGCUUGCCACCCAAAUUAUCUCAUUCCCACUGCUGGAGCAACCGUAAAACCAUGAAAGAGAAAGGUGCUUUCGAAACUGCUAGGUUGGCAGAAGCUGGGACAAGUAACGGGAGCUCACCCUGUUACAUGGCAGCACUAGGGAUUCGAACCGCUGAGCUGCUGACCUUUCGAUCGACAAGCUCAACGUCCUAGCCCCUGAGCCACCGCUUUAUAACCCUUUGAAAGAAAGAAAGAAAGAAAGAAAGAGAGAGAGAGAGAGAAGAGAAGAGAAGAGAAGAGAAGAGAAGAGAAGAGAAGAGAAGAGAAGAAAAGAAAAGAAAAGAAUAGUACCCAGGUUCCUGUCUGAGCUUGCUUAAUGAAGCAUUAGAAGAUGGAAAAACCAAAGCAGCUUGGAAGCACAACUGAAAUGUAUUUUCUCCUUUUAAUUUUCACAGUUCAAAGACAGGAGCUAAAACACUAUAGGGAAAAGUUGGAAAGCUGAAGCUGACAAGAAUGGAUACCUUAACCGAAGGGGUGAGAAUUUAUCCAUGAGGUGAAACUCAAACAAAAUUUUCUUCCACACUUUUCCUGACCUGACUCGCCUGACCUGAACCCCAUAGAGAAUCUAUGGGGCAUUGCGAAGAGAAAGAUGAAAGACAUGAGACCGAACAAUGCAGAAGAGCUGAAAGCCACUAUUGAAGCAUCCUGGUCUUCCAUAACACCUCAGCAGUGCCACAGGCUGAUAGCAUCCAUGCCAUGCCUCAUUGAGGCAGUAAUUGAUGCAAAAGUGGCCCAAACCAAGUACUGAGUACAUAUGCAUGCUUAUACUUUUUAAAGGUUCGAUAUUGUUCUAUGUACAAUCCUUGUUUUAUUGCUUUCAUGUAAUAUUCUAAUUUUCUGAGAUUGUGAAUUUGGGGUUUUUAUGAGCUGUCAG
Ahaetulla prasina is the source of this 948-nucleotide long non-coding RNA. RefSeq lists it as uncharacterized. The transcript is spliced from 6 exons. The record is from RefSeq and is a predicted model, not a curated record. NCBI's taxonomy places the organism in Eukaryota, Metazoa, Chordata, Lepidosauria, Squamata, Colubridae.